Bubalus bubalis (water buffalo) is the source of this 1674-nucleotide long non-coding RNA. RefSeq lists it as uncharacterized. Lineage: Eukaryota; Metazoa; Chordata; Mammalia; Artiodactyla; Bovidae. The record is from RefSeq and is a predicted model, not a curated record. The transcript is spliced from 5 exons.
UCGUUGCCCGAGAAGACAUGGCCAAUCCGCCACAUCCCAGCUGGAAACAUCUUGUGUAGAAACACCCAAAGGUGGCUUCAGAUCUGGCGGUAAGGGACCUGCAGUUGCAGCGGGCCACUUCCCUCGCACCCCCUGGGCGUGCUGGGCCCUGGGGAACACCUCCCGCUCCCUGGGCGUGCUGGGCCCUGGGGAACACUGAGUUUCUACGGCUCCUACAAUCCCGUAGUUUUCUCCCUUGAAUCAAACCUUGACCUUUGAAGCCCUGAGUUUUGUAGAUUUAAACUGACCUGAAGGGACCGAGAAAGGACUCAGUGAGGCCGGGAGUCUCCCCGGCAGCUCUGAACACAGCAGGGAAGGAUCGGAUUGCUCACCCCUCUGGCUGCCCCUUGGAAGGGACUCCCACACCGCAGCGAACUUUGCAAAGACUCCUGAGGACAUUUUGCUUUGAAGGGAGAGGUGACCGCGAAACUAGAGGCCAGAGAGGCAGGACACAUACCUGCAGUGGAGUGGACACUCACUAAGAGGAGUCAGUCCAGCGGGUUCUCCUUGCACAAGACCUGAAGUGGUGCUGGGAGAAUGAGCUGCCUAGACGGCCUCCUCCAGCUGUUGCCCCCGGGGAACGACCGUGACCUUCGCAGUCUUCAUGACCUCCAAAGGCCUCAAGGACCCUGCAGGACAGCACAGGACAGGGCGGGACUUCACUGCCAAGACAGCAGCUCUGCCUUCCAAGGCCUCAGCAAGGAGUCCAGGUGCGUGUGUAUGUGUAUGCAGCUGUCUGUGUUUGCUGUAUGCAGCGGCCCCUGGGGCUCGGGCUGCAGGGCGCCACACCAAGGUCACUUCUAGGAGCCAGCAAAGUGAUGGAAGUUGAGGACAGGCGGGCAUCUCUGGAGCGCCUUCCUUUCUUGUGGGAACAGGAGUAAAGACUGGGGUGAGAAGGUUCAGGGUCCACCAUGUUCUGGCCCAGACCCCAGUCUCCAGAACCCUGUCUGCAUGGCCUCUCACCCAUGGACAGCUCCAUCCAGCUGAGCCAGGUACCAGCUGUCCCCCACGAGCCAUGCUUCUGGAGCCUCAGGGUGGUGAGCAGGUGACUUGCAGCUCCCCAGCCAGAAACCCUUUACCUGGGCGUCACCCCAGCUCCUACUGAUGCCCGCGGACACAGUAAGGAGGCCAGCAGGUGGGGAGUGGGACUUCCUGCCCAACGUGGAGCGUGUCUGCACCGUCCCCCUGCCUGCCCGGGCCACAGUCUCCUUCUUGGCUGCAGACCGUGGCCUCCGUGGGGCCUCUGCCCCAAGGCUCCCUCCUUACCUGAACUCACAGGCAUAGUACCCUCACCCUCACCCAGCCGCACGGACCGGGCUGCAGGGGGCGGGACAGCUGCCGUGGAAUUCGUCAUCAGGGAAACCGAAGGCACACAGAGUAGACAGUGACCCACCAGGAGAUAAACGUUAAGUGGGCACGGAGGUCGUGUCCAGGGCAGGCAAGGAAUUCCACCUGGGGAGGCUCUGCAGGGCUGGCCUUGGCUGGCAAUGACCUCGGACCGCGGAGGUUCUCAGGCCGUGCUCAGGCUGCAGUGUAGAGAAGAGACGGAAGACGGGGGCUGCAGGGACGUCUUUAUUGUUCCUGGGAGGGAGCAGUAUACACAGCCACGCUGCAGUCACUGAGCUCGUUAAAGAC